AGGUACGGAUCUAGGCGUCAACAAGAAGAUGGAUCAGAUUUGGAGCUCGUGUCCCGCCCAGCGUGUUCUCUAAGUCACAAAUACGAUCUUUUUCAAACUGGGUUUUUUCCUGAUUCACAAUGAUUCGAAUAAAGAAAUCAGCAGAAAUGCUAUUUAAAGCUUAAUUUUCUUUAUAUAUGUCUGCCAUUCUCAUAAAAAAUGCUACAAGAACAUGUAAGAAAAAAAAACAUUUUAAUCUGAGUGGGUCUUUAAGUAUGAUUUUUUUGGGGGGCAACUGUUGUAUCUCCUCAUAAAAGAAGAUGAGAAUUGCUUUCUGAAAUAAAUCUUGAUCCAAUACUUUUAUUGUGGUUUCGGGGACAAACUAGUAAAUUAAACAGAAUAGAUUGAGGGGAGAGCAAACAAAAUGAAAAACAUAAUCUAGACUUUGGAGCAUUAAAACUAGAGAAAAAUGAAAAUUCUUUAUCAAUCCAAAUAAAAACAUUGCUAAUAUAACGCAGUCUUUUGUCCUACUCUCAUGUCUAUUUCUAUAAAAACAGGCUUUCCAGAUGAUUCUCGCGAUGAUGCAGUAGCAGGGUCAGCCCAUUCGGGGAUGGAGGAGGGGGGGAACUCCUCCUCUCUCCAGGCCCAUCCAGGGAACAAAAUGUUCCUGCGCCGGAGUGGGAGGGGCCAAUCAGCGGCCGAGUUAUUUAUACUGCGCGAGGGGAGGCUGCCGCUUGCCUAGCAACACGCAUCGACCGGAGCAUGAGAACCCAAAAAGGAGGCUGGCGUGAGAACCUUUCGCCUGUCUCACAUCAAGGAUCAAAAUUGCUCUUAAAGAGGGGCGUGACCUUUUGAUUGACAGGCACUGUGCCUAAUCUUUAGCCCUGGAAUGACCUUACUGGACCUGAAAAAGGCUACAUCGCUUGAUUUUCAGAGAGACUGGGGUUUAUCUAUGACCAGCCAAGAAGGCAACAACAACAGCGCAACUUAAGUGGAAUCUGCCUUUCCGCCGCCCAUAUCAUGCUCUUAACCCUUUUAUAAUCAACUAAAUCCAUAUAUAUGAUAAUAUACUACCUUUGGCACACUAAAAAUGAUUUUUAUAAGUUUUUCUCGUGGUUCAGUUUCCAACCUGGAGGUAAGACGACUCGAUCUCUAAGCCACCGCCUUUCCCUCCUUGUGGGUGCCGCCCACUUAAUGACAUCAUCCUAGAGUCGACGUCGGCAUCGUUUCGCCCACAAAAACAAACAAACAUCCGGCAAAGAUGGACUUGCAUUCUGUGCGUUUAAAUUGAAAGGGUUUAGCCUGGGGGCAGAUCUGGCAGCGCGGACUCUUCCUGGAAGGAGCCCUUCCUCACUUAUCCACGUCACAAUGAGUUAUACAGGCUAGAGUCGCUAAGCUAGCUUGUUGCGUACGCAAAGUUGGACGCCACGUUGGGUUUGUCGAGAUGCCUGUUUACUGCUGUGCUACAACAGCGGGGAAAAACAAGAAUGUGUCUUUUCACAAGCAAGCUAAUAAAGGGGAACUUUUUGAAAACAUUUUAGGAAGAUCUGAGUGAGUUUACUCUCAACAGUGAACAUUAAGGCUGAUCUUGUAACCUAUCUAAAGUGGCUUUUGACUUUUGAAAAGUGGACUAUUUCCACUUUUUUCAGCAGGACCACCUAUCUUUUUUGUUCCAUGGAGGAUGACUUUUGUAUUUCUGUGUGUGUUCAACCUCUGAUCAGACCAGACGACUCGCUGGUGAGCAGAUUACUCAGUGGAACCUAACCAAGAUUUCCUCAGUAGUUCAAAAAACCUGAGCGCUGCCAGCAGGGUAAACCGGACAAAACCACUUAAGGCAUGAAAAACAAUGUCUUCCCUCAGGCUGAAAGAUGGAAGCAACUCCCUGACUGUAAGCACAAAGUAUUUCCCACGCUGUAAAGCCCGCCCCCCACCCGGCAGCUGCAGUCAUAAAUGUUCUGAAUGCAUGCACAUGCAUUACACCGGCCUCUCUGCAGGAUCCUGCAGCGCUGCGAAGGAGCACAAGGCAAGUCAAUGUGACACAGGGCAAACCCACACUCCCUAGUAGCAGAAUAAUCCACAAAUGUUGCUUCUUAAACCAAUCUACAAAUGCACAUGGAAUAGAGUGUCAUCAUGUUACAUAUUGCAAUGCAAAACUAAAAAAAAAGGAGGAAAAAAUAUUCAUGCAUUGAUACCAUAUAAAAGCCUAUAUUUCAUUCAAAUUACUAAAUUAAAUUUAAAGCUCUUUUAUUAUCUAUAGAUGCAGUCAUUCCGUGCAUAAAGGACACUUCCACACUCGCCUGCAAAGCAUUUUUAAGAGUUACAUAAACAACAGUUAUUUUAGCUUGGAGGUUUCGUGGCCCUCUGCUGCCCCCUUGUGGACAAAUCAAUACCUGACCUAGAGGCAGCGUGUCUGCUGAGGCAGAAAUCUGUUCGAGGUGAUUUAUUAUGCUUGACAGGUAGGAGACACCACCCUAAAAAUGACAAGCUAAUAAUGAGAGCAUGAUUAAAAAACAAGAAACCAGUUUGAAAAGAAAAUAUUUCACUCGUGGGCGGUUUAGAUUUGGAUUUAGUCAACCAAUAAAAAGACUUCAUAAAACUCAGAUAUUAUUCAUUACAUUUCAAAACAUGUUACAAAACGAAUACAUAUUCAUUUAAAGAAUUAUAAAUUGCAUCAGGUCGAAAAAUUACUUUUAAUUUUUAUGAUUUCUUUUAGGAUCUGGAUUAGUAAGAAGUUAUUUCUUUUGAAAUCAUAUUAGUUUUUAGGAAAAAUAAAGAUCCAACCCAGCAAAUAAAUUGGGUUUUUUUAUUGAUUAGUAUAGGAAUAAAUUAAAAAAAGGGUUUGACAAAGCACUAGAUUAAAAAACAACUGAACAAACAAAAGUUUUGUAACACUAAUAACAGAAGAAAGUAUAGAUGUAUAAAUCAAUCAGCGCCAGCAAAGCAUUACUGGUAAACGGCACAUUUGUGUGAUCACGCACAAGACAUUGCAAUAGUUUGUGCAUCCAGACUUGCUUUUGUUUGGCAUUAAAAAAUAAAUAAAACGACCUGAUUCCUUACAAACUACCUGCCUGACUCAUUCAUUAACGUUUCGCUUUGUGUCCAAACCGCAACGUUUGUCCGAUGUGGACGGACUAAAGCGCUGCCAACCUGUUGGGAUUCAAUUUGACACACAAAAAAAAAAAAAGGAAGAAAAGCAGGUCACAAGACGCCAAAGAAAGAAAGAAAAGCGCAACUGCUGGUCUGGUUUUAGGAGGAACGUUGUUAGAGCAGUUUAUGGGCAAACAAUGAGCCGACUGUGUUUUCCAGCUCCAGAGGAUGAAGUCAGAGAGAACUGAUCCCAUUAAUGGGCCAGAAGGUUUAUAGUUGCAAAAUACUCUUCUAAAGCGUUUUAUCUUGCACACAGAAAGACUAUUAACACGGUAUUAAGAAUAUACAACCUACAUUUCAAUGACUAAAACGUCUGUCUGUCUGCAAAUAAACAGAACAAAAAGGAAAAAGUGAUUUUUCUCUGCAGCGCUUUUCUCUCAACGAAAGGACAGUCAAAGGUGGCUUUCAUCCAAAAAUCAAACGAGGGGUUGAGAAAAUCUGCAGGUUAAGAUCAUAAGCCUGGAAGGUAUAAGAACCUGUUUAAGACAGAUUCCUUCGUCUGCAGCUGCAAAAAAAAGGCAGAAAGGCUGAAACAAACGCAGAGUUCAGGCAUAAAUUGAGGUUCUGAUUACGGAUUUUAUAGGCAAAAACUAUCCGAAUAUUGCCUUCUUUUUUAUUGUUUUGUUGCUUUGAUCUAUUAAAAAAAAAGGCAAAAUACAUUCAAGUAUCGAAGUCUUUUCUGUCAGAAGUCCAAGAAAAAUGUUUGACUCCCGACAAUUCAGUAUUUCCAAUCAAAGAAGCAGCUUAUGAGAACUGAUUCUUCCUUAACUUCCACUUAACGUGCUUGUUGUAAAUGAGGAAAAAGAAAUAUAUUUUAAAAUGCAUGCAGUCAAAUAGAAAAAACAAAACAAAAACAAUUUUUUAAUAACUUCUGGGACGUAAAAACGUCUCGUAAGACUGAGAUCAAAUAAGCGCAGUCGCUCUUGGUGGCAAGGAAAACUUUGGAUGAUUGAUUUGGUAUUUUGUCUUAGAAAUAUUCAGGAUGGAAAACUUCAUCUACCAAUUAAGAAUUCAACAAAUUCAAAUUUGACCAAAUUUGGCACAAAUGGAUUUGAUUUAUUGCCCCUGUAAGGGCAAAUUUAAUUUGAUAUUACUGGUAUUCUCAUUCUUAAAACUUAUUGGUUAUGUAUAAAACCAGCUGUGACAACCCCUUUGUAAAUUUCAUAAUUAUUUUUGCAUUUAUUUAAUGAGUUACUAAAGUGUCUAGGAAUAUUCUCAACCUACGUAUAAUAAACAUGUCCUUUAUUGUUGUAUGACAUUAACUUUUAGUCCGUUUGCCGUCCAAAAACGAAACAACAGAAAGCAAAAAACCUAUUUUUAUAUAGAAAAAACUUCUCACACAUAAAACCUGCAGCGUUCUCCAUCAUUGUAAAUCAUUGCCUUCAUUAGGCUCCAUAUCAAUGUAAACAUGUUAAACCUCAUUGACUUUGAUUAUAGGUUUACAAAUCCGUUUAAUUUACAAUUUGCUGCUGUUUUUUAUGGAGCUGUGAAAAAAAUGUCAUGAUUCUGUUCUAUUCUAAAACUAGUUUUGUUUGGAUGAAAAAAAACCACAAAACCAGUUAUUUUGAACUGAACAAAAGUGCAGUUUUUGAUGCAACUUUUGUGAUAAGAAAGGCCGUUUUUCUUUUUAAUUGGUUUUUUGAGUAACAAUCAAUUCCAAUUUCUUUUUGUUAUAGCCAGAUCUAAUCUAUAAUAAAACACGAUGGACUUUUACUUCACUGCUUUUUGUUUCAGUUAUUAGUAAAAUAGUGGACCACAAUAAAUGUUAAACCGAAAAGUAGAAUAUUUGCUAUCAUUUUUAUAAUAAAACUAAAAAAAAA
Long non-coding RNA from Oryzias latipes (Japanese medaka), 4946 nucleotides. RefSeq lists it as uncharacterized. The record is from RefSeq and is a predicted model, not a curated record. NCBI's taxonomy places the organism in Eukaryota, Metazoa, Chordata, Actinopteri, Beloniformes, Adrianichthyidae.